CACUACUGUCCACGCAAAAACGCAGCCAUGUCCGAGCGAAUGGAGCAAAAUAAAACAGCAUUCAAUCAAAUAAAGAGGAGAGAAAAAGAAAAAAAGGGACAUCGUUAGACAACGUGUUUUAUUCCACUAGAACCUUGAAAUUGCAACAGAAAAAGAAAAACAAACAAACAGACGCUCACGAAUGUGUACGCAGUGCUGCUGUGCACACAUACAAAGGCCAUUCAGAUUCAACCUUGCGGCACACCGGCACAGACGUACUUGUAGCUACAGGUACAUUUUUUAAUAUCAAAUAGGGAAGGAGAGGGGACGGCAAAUGUUUAGCAUUAACCAGAUAACUCCUCCUUUUUUUUCCCCCUUUUUUAUUUCUCAUGAUGUAUAACGUCAGUGGAAGUAGCAGUACUGCCUUCAUGUGCAUGAAAACGUGUGUGCCCUUUUCGUUUAUCUUGUGUAACGUUUAAACGACACGGCUGUCCUUAAAGUACGUCGUGCUACACGCGACGCCAUUGUUUUUCCCUUGAACGAUUUAUUCCCAUUUGACCUUUUUUUUUUCUUUUUCUUCUUCUUCUUCUUUUCAUGAUGCUAUUAACUAAUGCUGCCUCUUGUCUUCAGUUCUUUGGGUAUACUUUUACAUGAACUUUUAUCCAUUCCAUUUCGUCUUACGUUAAUCGUCUCCUAAUUAAAAAAAGACGCAUAUCCGGACCGGACGUGGCAUUCAUCUGCGCUGAGUGGGUCCUAUUUUGUGUGUGUGUGUGUGUGUGUGUUGUAUGUUCUAUCUGUUUCUCUUAUUUUAUUUCGGUUUCCUUCCCCCUCUUGUAUCCAAUAUUGAGUGGCCUGGCCCGCCGUGCGCUGUGGACGCAGUUGUAACUGGUAUAAUCUAACGAUACGGUCCUCUUAGGAAACGAAAGGGGGCCCGACAAGCAGCCAACCAAUUUGCGGCCAAAAAUCGAAAGGACAUAAGAAGAAAGAGACAAGAUAGAAACAAUGUACUGUAUAGCUUUUUAUACUGUACAUCCACGGUUGCAGAUUAUUAAAUAGCCGAAAAAGAAAGGCACAGUAGUCGUAAUAGAUUAGGACGUACAGUAAAAAAGCAAAAACAAAAAAAAAACAAGCCAACGGGGUGGUCGGGUCACGGGCUGGUGAACGCCACGUUCCGGCCAAAUCUUUUUAGCCCGAAGAAUGGAUGGGAAAAAAACAAGAGAGAGAGAGACAUUCACGACAAAAAAGUGAAGAGAAAAACACACCGAAGAAGAGUCAUAAAACACACAAAAGACAAAAAACAUUUGGAGGAAAAACGAAGAGCUUGCUUAACAAGACACACACAUCCUUGAGUUGGUGAUGGAGAGAACAAAGAGCUACGAGAUGGAUGGGUCAUCGCUGUUUUAUUGGUGAACGGGAAAAAGGACGCGUACGAUGCGCGUGCAACCGCGGAACGAGAACAACUCCUUGCUCGUCAUCCGCACUCAUUUUAGUUAUUAUAUCGUUAUUGCAAAAUGUUUGCAUUUGGAAUUUUUUUUGUUUGUUUUUUUUUUACCGCUGAACAUAAACUUGUUCGUUGACGACCCCA
Molecule: long non-coding RNA, 1564 nt
Organism: Daphnia magna
Lineage: Eukaryota; Metazoa; Arthropoda; Branchiopoda; Diplostraca; Daphniidae
Exons: 2
Source: RefSeq, a predicted model, not a curated record